This 374-nucleotide ribosomal RNA is filed under the name uncultured bacterium. Its description in RNAcentral is "bacterial SSU rRNA". It matches the Rfam family "Bacterial small subunit ribosomal RNA", at positions 53 to 439 of the family's 1533-position model. The record is from RNAcentral.
GAAUGCAGUCGAACGGGGGCUUCGGCCCAGUGGCGAACGGUCGCGUAACACGUGGGCAACCUGCCCUGAAGUGGGGGAUAACAGUUCGAAAGGACUGCUAAUACCGCAUGUGCUCCUCUCCGGCAUCGGAGUGGAUCAAAGGAUUUAUUCGCUUCAGGAUGGGCCCGCGGCCUAUCAGCUUGUUGGUGGGGUAACGGCCCACCAAGGCUUCGACGGGUAGCUGGUCUGAGAGGACGGCCAGCCGGAUUGGGGCUGAGAUACGGCCCAGACUCCUACGGGGGGCAGCAAUUAGGAAUCUUGCGCAAUGGGGGCAACCCUGACGCAGCGACGCCGCGUGACAGGAUGAAAUACUUCGGUAUGUAAACUUCUUUUAU